CCAGGAGUAUGCGUACUCGGCGGCCAGAGGUGAAAUUCUUAGACCCGCUGAAGACGAACAGCUGCGAAGGCGUUUACUNGAGAUGCUUUCAUUAAUCNAGAACCGAAGUUGGGGGAUUGAAGACGAUCAGANACCGUCGUAGUCUCAACCGUAAACUGUGCCAACAAGCUGUCAGAAGAUUCCUUUCUUUGGGUCUUUUGGUGGCUUUCGAGAAAUCAAAGUCUUUGGGUUCUGGGGGGAGUAUUGUCGCAAGUCUGAAACUUAAAGGAAUUGACGGAAGGGCACCACAAGGUGUGGAGCUUGCGGCUUAAUUUGACUCAACGCGGGAAAACUUACCAGGGCCGGACAAAAGUAGGAUUGACAGGUCUGAAGUUCUUUCAUGAUUUUUUGGUUAGUGGUGCAUGGCCGUUCUUAGUUGGUGGAGUGAUUUGUCAGGUUAAUUCCGGUAACGAACGAGACUUUGGCCUGCUAAUUGACGCCUUUGCCGUGGCAAAGCUCUGUCACUUAGAGGGACUUUGUAAUUUCAACGCAAGGAAGCUCGAAGCUAUAACAGGUCUGUGGUGCCCUUAGAUGUCCUGGGCUGCACGCGCGCUACAUUGGUAAAAGCAAAGUGAGUUCGCUUCUAAAGAAGCGGCAAAGCGUUGCAAACUUUAUCUUCUUGGGGACUGACGCUUGAAAUUGUUUGUCACUAACGAGGAAUACCUUGUAAAUGCAGGUCAACAUCCUGCUUUGAAUACGUCCCUGCCCUUUGUACACACCGCCCGUCGCCUCAAUCGACUGAACAUUUUGGUGAAUUUUCCGGAGGAACUAGGAGGGGCAACUCUCUAAGCUUCCAAUGUUUUGUGAACCGUCAUGUUUGAAGAAUGAGAAAGUCGUAACACGGUAUCUGUAGGUGAACCUGCAGAAGGAUCA
RNAcentral lists this ribosomal RNA (912 nucleotides) under uncultured eukaryote. Its description in RNAcentral is "bacterial SSU rRNA". It matches the Rfam family "Eukaryotic small subunit ribosomal RNA", at positions 882 to 1828 of the family's 1831-position model. The record is from RNAcentral.